CGCCGGCACCGGCAGGUCGCUCUCCCUCCUUUGCGUCGCGCUGGCCUGGCAGCGCCACUGCCAGCUCGGUACGCCCCAGCCGCCAACCCCCCUCCUCCACGACGACGCCUUCAUCCCUGGCAACACCCGGCAGCAGCCCACUACUGACAUCCCGGAGAAGGCGGCGGCUGCCAAGAAGAAGAAUGCGCCGACCAUCUACUACACCACGUAAGAUCUGCUCUCAAAUGAACUGAAAUGAUGGGGCAAUCUUGCCAGCCAGGUUUCUUGGCUGCUUGUCUUGAAUCGAUUAGAUGAAUCCUGAUUGAUUUCAUUUCCCUUCAAAAAAUCCUGAUUAGUUUCUUGGUUCCAUUGUCUAUCGGUUGCGGGAGGACGCACUGUCAGAUAACCCAGGUGGUCAUGGAGCUGUGCAAGACGAUGGCCAUCUUGGCCUCAAGGAAGCACUAUUGCAUCAAUAAGACCGUAUGCAUGGCUGAGCCAAUUGACGAGGAAUUGUGACAUACAAGACACAUAUAUUUACUAAUCAUUUGGGUUCUUCAUUGUAAACCAUUUAGUGAGACCUUUUCUCCAUCAGCAAGAAGCUUCUAGAUGACAAAGUUCAAGGAUGCCCAGAAUUCAAAAACUGAGUCAUCGUCCAUCCCUUCGGACCGAUGGCUGCUAUGAAGUUCCUGAUAUUGAGGAUCUUCCUAGGGUCGGAACACAAGUCAAAGUUAUUUACAGGAUGUCCAUAUUUUGUUGCACAAACCAUGCAUGGCAAAAGCAGCACAAUUGAUUUUCUGCCCAUAUAGCAACCUAAUUAGUCCAAUUGUCAGGAGAGCAAUGGACAUUGAUAUCAUUGGCUCAAUUGUUAUUCUUGAUGAAGCGCAGUAAGCCCCUGAGUCUGCAGACUCAUGAUUCUUUUUUAGUGUCAUUCAAUGGUUUCCUUAGUUGCAAGACAACGGCUCCGUAUGUUACCGAUCCGGUGUUGCUGUGCGUGAGGACGGACAUGGGGAAGGUGCAACAAGGCAGCGCUCAAGUUGCAGUGGAGUGGAGUCGACCAUCACUACUGACCGCUGCUCGGCGAUCCUCGCCCCUCACUCCCCAUCUAGAUGUGGUUAGGAACUAAAUCGACAAGCAUCGAUAUUUUUGUUAGGAAGGAGCGCUAGGAGCCUAGGAGUGGAACACGAUUUCCUCGAAUCUAGCCGAGAUUGACAUUAUUGAAGCAAAGACCAUGUUUAAAGAAAUGCUACAGAUGGUCACACGCCUCUGCUUUUUUCGUCAUCUUCCAUCGGUCCAAGCUGCUAUUGUUCACUCCGUCGGCUUGCAGUUGCUUCUGGAGCGUGCUUCAGAUUCAUUGUGCCUCCUUCCAAUGAUCAUAUGCCAGAUUUCAGAACAAAACUAGCUAUCAUUUAGUGGACUCGAGAUUGAAUGGCGAUGAUAUAAAAAACUGAGACUUGAAGAUGACAGAAACAACACAAAUUCCAACGGAUUGUAUGAUUCUGGAUAGACCUCUAAGAACAUGGAGACAACAUAGAUCUCACUGUUUAUUUAUUUAUCUAAGGAUGUUAAAUUUGUUACCAUAUGUGUUUACCCACAACCAAAUCAAGUAAAUUAUGGAUUUUCUUUUCAA
Molecule: RNA transcript, 1606 nt
Organism: Triticum dicoccoides
Lineage: Eukaryota; Viridiplantae; Streptophyta; Magnoliopsida; Poales; Poaceae
Exons: 10
Source: RefSeq, a predicted model, not a curated record